Molecule: ribosomal RNA, 460 nt
Filed under: uncultured bacterium
Lineage: Bacteria
Description: partial 16S ribosomal RNA
Rfam family: Bacterial small subunit ribosomal RNA
Source: RNAcentral
CCUACGGGAGGCAGCAGUGAGGAAUAUUGGUCAAUGGCCGGAAGGCUGAACCAGCCAUGCCGCGUGAAGGUCAGUGCCCUAUGGGCGUUAAACUUCUUUUGUGCGGGAGCAAUAAUGGUCACGUGUGGCCAGACGAGAGUACCGUACGAAUAAGCAUCGGCUAACUCCGUGCCAGCAGCCGCGGUAAUACGGGGGAUGCAAGCGUUAUCCGGAUUUAUUGGGUUUAAAGGGUGCGUAGGCUGGGAGGUAAGUCAGCGGUGAAAUGCCCCCGCUCAACGGGGUGAAGUGCCAUUGAUACUGCCUGGCUGGAGUGCGGAUGCCGUGGGAGGAAUGUGUGGUGUAGCGGUGAAAUGCAUAGAUAUCACGCAGAACACCGAUUGCGAAGGCAUCUCACGAAUCCGCGAUUGACGCUGAUGCACGAAAGCGUGGGUAUCAAACAGGAUUAGAUACCCCAGUAGUC